AUGAUGGAUAUAUUUGCCCUUUUUGUGGUCCCUGAAUUUGUGCGGGCUCUAUCUACUCCUUCUGGAACUCGGUGUAUACAAGAAUACAUAACAUCGGUCCACAGACACCAUGCCUCCUCUACACUUCAGAAUCAGCUGCUUCAGCUGCAUUUUGAGACGACAGGAUCGAACCAUGUAAGAAAAACGGUGCCACAGUGUAUGCAGACCUCAAAAAAUGCUUAUGGUGUUAAGAUGGAAAAAAAGGGACAAAUCCAACCAUAUUGCGCUUCUUAUUAUGAAUGUGACAAUAUCAUCGGACAUUGCAAGGGUACUCCUCAAGAAAGACACUACUGA
This 333-nucleotide ribosomal RNA is filed under the name Triticum aestivum (bread wheat). RNAcentral's name for it is "partial small subunit ribosomal RNA". The record is from RNAcentral. Lineage: Eukaryota; Viridiplantae; Streptophyta; Magnoliopsida; Poales; Poaceae.